GGGGAGGCGGCGAAGACGGCGAGUCGCGGCAGACUGUAAAUCUGUUGCCUUCGGGCUAAGAGAGUUCAAAUCUCUCCCUCCCCACCA
This 87-nucleotide transfer RNA is filed under the name Candidatus Allofournierella excrementigallinarum. Its description in RNAcentral is "Candidatus Fournierella excrementigallinarum (gut metagenome) tRNA-Tyr". It matches the Rfam family "tRNA". Rfam says of the family: Transfer RNA (tRNA) molecules are approximately 80 nucleotides in length. Their secondary structure includes four short double-helical elements and three loops (D, anti-codon, and T loops). Lineage: Bacteria; Bacillati; Bacillota; Clostridia; Eubacteriales; Oscillospiraceae. The record is from RNAcentral.